RNAcentral lists this small nucleolar RNA (79 nucleotides) under Debaryomyces hansenii. RNAcentral describes it as "Small nucleolar RNA SNORD27". It matches the Rfam family "Small nucleolar RNA SNORD27". From Rfam's summary of the family: U27 is a member of the C/D class of snoRNA which contain the C (UGAUGA) and D (CUGA) box motifs. U27 is encoded within the U22 snoRNA host gene (UHG) in mammals and is thought to act as a 2'-O-ribose methylation guide for ribosomal RNA. The record is from Rfam by way of RNAcentral. Lineage: Eukaryota; Fungi; Ascomycota; Pichiomycetes; Serinales; Debaryomycetaceae.
AAUAAAAGAUGAGCUUGAAAAAAAAGACAAGCAUAUGUCUGAAUCUUUAAUGAAGAGAAACUUUUUCGUGUCUGAUAUU